GAACGCUGGCGGCAGGCCUAACACAUGCAAGUCGAACGGUAACAGGAAGAAGCUUGCUUCUUUGCUGACGAGUGGCGGACGGGUGAGUAAUGUCUGGGAAACUGCCUGAUGGAGGGGGAUAACUACUGGAAACGGUAGCUAAUACCGCAUAACGUCGCAAGACCAAAGAGGGGGACCUUCGGGCCUCUUGCCAUCGGAUGUGCCCAGAUGGGAUUAGCUAGUAGGUGGGGUAACGGCUCACCUAGGCGACGAUCCCUAGCUGGUCUGAGAGGAUGACCAGCCACACUGGAACUGAGACACGGUCCAGACUCCUACGGGAGGCAGCAGUGGGGAAUAUUGCACAAUGGGCGCAAGCCUGAUGCAGCCAUGCCGCGUGUAUGAAGAAGGCCU
Molecule: ribosomal RNA, 390 nt
Filed under: uncultured bacterium
Lineage: Bacteria
Description: bacterial SSU rRNA
Rfam family: Bacterial small subunit ribosomal RNA
Source: RNAcentral